AGCAGUAGCCACGGUAAAACAGAGGGUGCGAGCGUUAAUCGGAUUUACUGGGCGUAAAGCGUGCGUAGGCGGCUUUUUAAGUCGGAUGUGAAAUCCCUGAGCUUAACUUAGGAAUUGCAUUCGAUACUGGGAAGCUAGAGUAUGGGAGAGGAUGGUAGAAUUCCAGGUGUAGCGGUGAAAUGCGUAGAGAUCUGGAGGAAUACCGAUGGCGAAGGCAGCCAUCUGGCCUAAUACUGACGCUGAGGUACGAAAGCAUGGGGAGCAAACAGGAUUAGAUACCCCCGUAGUCCCUGUCUCUUAUAC
This 303-nucleotide ribosomal RNA is filed under the name uncultured bacterium. RNAcentral describes it as "partial 16S ribosomal RNA". It matches the Rfam family "Bacterial small subunit ribosomal RNA", at positions 507 to 807 of the family's 1533-position model. The record is from RNAcentral.